CCAGGACUGGAUUUGUAGUGAAUGGGCUUUUAUAUGUAUUUCUACAGUGCUAAAUGAAUAUGAAAAGUUGACCAGUUUCACUUGUAAAUAUAUCGUUUUCUACCCUGUGAAAAUAGAAAAGGGAACAAUCAAGGGAAGGCAAUUACCGUUUUCUAAAAUAAAUCUACUCUUUAAUAGAAAUGUCUUUGCACUAGAUACAAUCUUCUAUCUAAAUCAAAUGCUUACAUCUCACCUGUCUUGCAAUAUCAAAUGUAUAUCUAGUUAUAGCAAUCUAGAAGAAAAUACAGCAAUACAUUAUAUUUACUUGACAAGUAAAAUCAUUACGUAGAAAAUGCGAGUUAAUUUUUGUGCUGCAAUGUAACCACAAAACCAGCUAAUCUGCCCACCAAAUGAAAAUGAACGCUGUUGUAAUUGUUUUUUUAUCAUCUACAAUAUGGAACUGAUACUCAAUAUUUAAUUAGGCAGGACAACAUUGAAAACACAAGUAUAAAUAACCACACUGGUUUAGUCAAACUUUGGUAAUCUAGCUGCUAUGGACUAUGAUUUCCACAAUUGUUAGUCAACAUCCCAGUUGUCCUAAUUAGGGCUUUUCCAUAAAGUGAUUAUUGUCGGGAAUUUAAUAUGAAUUUCAAAUUUAAGGCAAAAAGAGCAGACCUGGAAAAGUUCUCAAAAUCAGCUAAGCUUCUUGAUUGACUACUUAGGUUUUAAAUUUGAAAUUCACUUGAAUUUGAAUAGGCUUGCAUAUAACUUAUAAUACAGAGUAGUUGUCCUGCCAGUAAUUUUCUAUACUUGCUACAAUCUGCCUUAUUCUCCAAUCAGAGAAACAUGAAGCAAAAAAAAGUGUUUUUAGGAAAUCCUGCACUCAGUUCACUUAAAAGAACAUUCCAAGUACCAUAACCAUUACAAAUCAAAGGUAGUGAUUAUGAUGUCAUGGAGCCUGACACUCUACCAGAGUAAUCUAUCAAACCAUUUUAGGACAGUUUGACAACUUACCUAGGUCCUCCAGGUGCGAUAUUGCAAAAUGUCUCCACUGAGCUAAAAUGGUUGACGCAGGACCACGCUCUUUGGUUGAGUGUGCUCAGCUGAUAUUCUCAACCAAAGUCUGCAUUGCUCUGCUCGGCUCAGUGGAGCUGACUAAAUGUUCCUGCAAGGAGAAUCUGGAAGCAGAUGGAAAGACUAAACAAUAUUUUGCAUCGUUCACUAUUUUCCCCGGUGUAUUUGCCAUGCAAUGUUUCAUAUCUAGCACUGACUGUAUUGUUCUAACAAUGCAUGGUUUACUGAAUCAUUCCAUUAUGGGUAGAGAUCUUGGUAACUAUUUUGGGUAUAAUAGUAACUAUAGAAUUAGAGAGCAUGGUUGUAGAAAACUAUAUGUAAAAUUGUGGUGCUUGGUGCUAGUGUCCUUCGCCCAUUUCUGAUGUGCCUUACACUUUUUGGCAUAUAAAUACGGUUUAUACAUUCACAAAGAUGCUCAUUUUUAGUUUGUGACACAUUAAUAAUACAAAGUCAGACUUUUCUAUUCCCACUAUCUUUGAGGGGUGAGCACAUAUAAUUUUUUUUCAAGAGACAAUCAAAGCACCAAAGCCACUGCAUCUUAUUAAAGUGGUUUUGGUGCAUUUUUUCCUUUUUGCUGAAAAUUAAAACAUCAAAAAAGAACAAUGUUUGCAUUUGGUGGCAAACAUGUCUUUAGAAACCAUCAACCAGACAGCUUCCUCCUUAAAGAUCCUUCAUUUGUCUAUGGUCUUCACAUUUGGUGUCAUCCUGGACAGCGUAAUGACACCAAACAUAGCAUUAGGACAUUGCAGAAAGCGUGACUGCAUGUCCUAAAUGAACGGCGAGCUGAGCUGUCAUUCAGCUUGUUCCCCACGAGUGCCCACACCAUGCAUGGUUUAGCAUUAACUGCUUCAAUAUGAGAAGCACCGGAUUAGUUGAAAGUCAUUAAGCUUCAUGACUUCAAAGUAGGUGAUACAACUGCAGUGAGGAUUCAGUCUUGGCAUUGGAAUAAAGGAACAUUGAAUUGCAUUUUAAUAUUUUUUUUAAAUACUGGGGUGGAGGGGCUAAAUCUAAAAAUCUAGACACAGUAGGCUUGAAUAAAUGGAUUUUUUCAACACAGUUAUUCUUUUGUACUUGUGUUGUCUACUCUUCGUAUUUUACCUUUGAUAUUCCAUGUUACAAAUCUGAGCUCACAAAAGAUGUUUUGAGUAACUUAACUCUUUGUUUUCGUAAACUUAGCUCGUUAUUAACUUUACAAUAGCUGCCUUUUAAUAUGUGCAAAACCUUCUUCUUGAUAUUUAGAAGUGUUAUCAAAUUAGGUUUAGUUGUAAACAUCUUACGUUUAGUACGUUUAAGAUCCUUUUACAAACUUGUCAAUGUAAAAUCUGAAGUUUAGAAGAAGUCAAGUGUCUACAUUAAUUAUUUAAUGUAACUGAAUAUGAUCUUGGAUGUGAUCGUUAAGUGAGAUAGGCAGCAUGGCAUGUACUUAUGGUACUCUAAUAUGGGAUAUUAGGUAUUACCCAAUGGUGGAUAUCAACAGGCACCAUUUGUUUACAAGCAGUGUAUAUUACAUAUUAAGCAUCUUGUAUUAUAUCAAUAUGAAGUGCACUUUUAAGCAUUCAGCAGGUAAAAGACACAGGCACAAAGCCACUAACCCUGAGGUAGAUGCUUUAAAGUGUCCAUAACUAUAUUUUAAAGGAAAAUUUUAAACUUUCUAACAAUUAUUAUACGUUCUAUGGAUGACACAAUGGAUUCCCGUCUCCAGCACUAAAGCCAUUGUUGAAAUGCAGCUCUUAAAUCCUUGACAAGGCUCGCUAAUUAUUAGAGGAAUUGUAGCUUCACAACAUGCUGAUGAUCACAAGUCACACAGCCUUAUUUUACAGUUUUCCCUGACCAUCUCUUUGCAAGCAAAGAAAAGAAGACAUAACAUUUAUAUCAUAAGUUUAAUCUCUAAAUUCUAAGACUGAAAUCAGAAAUUGAGAG
Non-coding RNA from Pelobates cultripes (western spadefoot toad), 2973 nucleotides. The record is from the annotation of a GenBank genome assembly. NCBI's taxonomy places the organism in Eukaryota, Metazoa, Chordata, Amphibia, Anura, Pelobatidae.